Papaver somniferum (opium poppy) is the source of this 90-nucleotide small nucleolar RNA. RefSeq annotates it as small nucleolar RNA snoR31. NCBI's taxonomy places the organism in Eukaryota, Viridiplantae, Streptophyta, Magnoliopsida, Ranunculales, Papaveraceae. The record is from RefSeq and is a predicted model, not a curated record. The transcript has a single exon.
CAGAUGAGGAUGAAUUUAUAUACUAUAAUCCAACACUUGAUCUGAGGAAUUUGUUUCCCUUGAUGUUAAAUAGUAAAUUUCUGAAUCUGU